GACAGAGGGUGCAAACGCUGUUCGGAAUUACUGGGCGUAAAGCGCGUGUAGGCUGCUUGGAAAGUCGGAUGUGAAAGCCCUGGGCUUAACCCAGGAAGUGCAUUCGAAACUUCCAAGCUCGAGUCCUGGAGAGGGUGGCGGAAUUCUCGGUGUAGAGGUGAAAUUCGUAGAUAUCGAGAGGAACACCGGUGGCGAAGGCGGCUACCUGGACAGUGACUGACGCUGAGACGCGAAAGCGUGGGGAGCAAACAGG
This 253-nucleotide ribosomal RNA is filed under the name uncultured bacterium. RNAcentral's name for it is "partial 16S ribosomal RNA". It matches the Rfam family "Bacterial small subunit ribosomal RNA", at positions 524 to 776 of the family's 1533-position model. The record is from RNAcentral.